GAUGAAGAACGGAGCGAAAUGCGAUAAGUAAUGUGAAUUGCAGAAUUCAGUGAAUCAUCGAAUCUUUGAACGCACAUUGCGCCCGCCAGUAUUCUGGCGGGCAUGCCUGUUCGAGCGUCAUUACAACCCUCAGGCCCCCGGGCCUGGCGUUGGGGAUCGGCGAGGCGCCCCCCGCGGGCACGCGCCGUCCCCCAAAUACAGUGGCGGUCCCGCCGCAGCUUCCAUUGCGUAGUAGCUAACACCUCGCAACUGGAGAGCGGCGCGGCCAUGCCGUAAAACACCCAACUUCUGAAUGUUGACCUCGAAUCAGGCAGGAAUACCCGCUGAACUUAAGCAUAUCAAUAAGCGGAGGA
This 353-nucleotide unclassified non-coding RNA is filed under the name soil metagenome. Its description in RNAcentral is "partial contains 5.8S ribosomal RNA, internal transcribed spacer 2, and large subunit ribosomal RNA". The stretch from base 1 to 120 matches the Rfam family "5.8S ribosomal RNA", at positions 35 to 154 of the family's 154-position model. The record is from RNAcentral.